GUCUGGCUGGCUCAGUUAGUAGAGCAUGUGACUCUUGAUCUCAGGGUUGUGAGUUCAAGCCCCAUGCUGAACA
RNAcentral lists this transfer RNA (73 nucleotides) under Felis catus (domestic cat). It matches the Rfam family "tRNA". Rfam says of the family: Transfer RNA (tRNA) molecules are approximately 80 nucleotides in length. Their secondary structure includes four short double-helical elements and three loops (D, anti-codon, and T loops). Lineage: Eukaryota; Metazoa; Chordata; Mammalia; Carnivora; Felidae. The record is from Rfam by way of RNAcentral.